This is a long non-coding RNA of Raphanus sativus (radish), 472 nucleotides long. RefSeq lists it as uncharacterized. The transcript is spliced from 3 exons. Lineage: Eukaryota; Viridiplantae; Streptophyta; Magnoliopsida; Brassicales; Brassicaceae. The record is from RefSeq and is a predicted model, not a curated record.
AAAAAUCACAAGUUGUAAUAGAAAGAGUUUUAUAACCCCUUUGUAAAUAUGGAUUUCAAGUACUUUUAGAAUUUUAUUACGAUACCACAUAGGGUUUGACUAUAUACAUCCGAUAUAUUUUGAUUAAGUGAUGGUUCAUUAGCUUCCAUAUUUUAUUUGUUGUGUAGUUCACGAGACUACUCUCAGAAGAAGCGAGUGAUGCUACUGACGAAAUGAUGGAGCAAGAGAUGGCUUUAGCUAAAUUAAUGCUAGGGCUUGUUGGAACUAUCAAGGAUUGGGCUAAUGAAAUAUUUAAGAGGCCGGAGGAUCAAAAGUCAACCAGGAAAAGAAACAGGAUGCAUUUUGGCAGCCUGCUUAUACAUUUAUUGUAGACAAGAGGACAAGCCACAAACUAUUAAGAGUUUAUAAAAUCAUUUAUGAAUCAUUUAUAAAUUUUAUAAGAGCUUAUAAAACCUUGUAUCAACCUUCUAUA